This is a non-coding RNA of Eublepharis macularius, 72 nucleotides long. NCBI's taxonomy places the organism in Eukaryota, Metazoa, Chordata, Lepidosauria, Squamata, Eublepharidae. The record is from the annotation of a RefSeq genome assembly.
GGAGAUGUGGCUCAGUGGUAAAGCAUCUGCUUGCUGUGUGGAAGGUCCCCGGUUCAAUCUCGGGCAUCUCCA